AUGGCGGCUGCUUCUUCUUCGUCGUCCUCCUCCUCUCCAUCCUCUUCCUCCUCCUCCUCCACGUCCUCUCCGUCCUCCUCCGACCCGGACUACAAGGUCACCACCUCCGACCUCGACGACGACGCCGCCGGCGUCGAGCUCCCGUCGUCGGACGAGGAAUUCCUCUCCGUCUUGCGCACGCAGGGCCACGUCGACGCGGUGUGCAAGAAAUACGGCAUCUCCGAGGACCAGUACACCGCCCUCCCCGCAGGCGACCUGCGCGCCAGCUCGUCCCCGCCGCACGGCGCCGUCUGCGUGUACGCGCACGCGCUGGAGGCCGGGAUGCGCGUCCCCCUGCACCCCUUCUUCGUCGACGCGCUCAACCACUUCGGCCUCGCGCCCACGCAGCUCGCGCCCAACGGGUGGCGCAUCAUGGCGGGAUUCGUUGUCCUCUGCCACUCCGCCGGCGUGUCGCCGUCCCUCGCGGUGUUCCGGCGGUUCUUCAUGCUGUCCACCCUCCCCCACAGCCACAAGCAGAAAAAAGGCUGGUACUACUUCCAUCCCAGAUCGAGGGACAGAUCCGGCUUGCGCUUCACGGGGUUGCCGGAGUCCAUCAAGGAUUGGAAGCGUGGGUUCUUCUUCCUCUGUUCGCCGACCGCGUGGCCUUGUCCUGUGGAGUGGGGCAGGCCGUCCAAGAGCUCUCUCGUGGACCCCGUGCUCUCCACCGAAGAUGAGGCAUCGGCGGCCAAGUUGCUACGUGCUCAGGGAGCCUCCUUCAUUGAUCUUAGGAAGUAUCUUUGCCGCAGCAAUCUUGCCAACGCCGGGAUAUCUCCCUUAUCGGCACCGGCACGGGCGCCGUCAUCACCGCAGCUCCCGGCACCGGAGCCGUCGUCACCGCAGCCGUCGUCACCGGAGCCGCCGCCUUCUUAUACUUGUACCGCCACCGAGUUCAAAGUGAUGGAUCCCGCAGUGUACGGCAUGAUGAAAUCCAUGCUAGCAGCGAAGGCGGCGGUUGCACAAACACCGGCAUCGGCGAACAAGGUGAAAAUCGAGCCGGGCGGAGAUGCGACGAGAUCGUCACCAUUGCGUGGGAAGAAGAGGAAUCUGGACGAAGCAGGCGGCAGCGACGGCCCACCAUGUGUGCUGCCAAACACUCCGCCUACCGCCGAUGACAGCUCGGCGCCCACCGGAAUUUGUUCCCCAACCGAAGCCUUCUCCCGGAGCAGCCGGAAGAUGCAGCAUAUUCCCAGCGGACACGACGGCGACAGCACCGACUGGGUCGCCGCGAGGGAGAGGCUGCGGGGCGUCGUCCCGCCGCAGCAGGAGCGCGUGUUUGCGGCGACCGAGCCCUCCGACAUCGUCGCGUCCAGCUACAUCGCCAUUCUUCAGUAUUUGUCUGUGGACGGCAACGACGCUUGCGUGCAGGCUGCAAACUACGCGUCCUUCUCCUUGGCCUACGCGCUGGAGCUGGAGCAGCGGCUGGUUGCGCGGGACGCGGAGGUCGCCGCACUGCGGACGCAGCUGGAGAAGUCGGAGGACAAGCUCGCCGCGGCGGAGGCGGAGGCGGAGAUGAUGAAGGCCGAGCUCGCCGUGCGGCGGCGCGCGCAGGACGCGCUGGAUGGCUACGAGCGCUGGCGGGGCGGAAGCAAAACGUGA
Molecule: ribosomal RNA, 1635 nt
Filed under: Triticum aestivum (bread wheat)
Lineage: Eukaryota; Viridiplantae; Streptophyta; Magnoliopsida; Poales; Poaceae
Description: partial small subunit ribosomal RNA
Source: RNAcentral